CCCUAUUAUUUUUAAUAUAAAUGUAAUUUUGAGUAGUAGAUGAUAUGAUCAGGAAACUUAAAGAAUUUGGCGGUGUUUAUUCUAAUUAGAGGAAUAUAUUUUAAAAUCGAUAAUCCACGAAAAUCUUACUUUAAUUAAUUUUCUUUGUAUACCUCCGUCUAAAAAAAUUUUAAAAAUAUAUUUUUAUUCUUUUAAAAUAACAUAAGUCAGGUCAAGGUGCAGGUUAUUUUAAAGAUAAAAUGUAUUACAAUAAAAUUAUUUUUGGAUUUAAUUAUUAUUAAUUAAUGAAAAUGGAUUUAUAAGUAAAUUAGUUUUUAUUAUAACUGUUUGAAUUUUGUAAAUAAAUAUGCACACAUCGCCC
Molecule: ribosomal RNA, 361 nt
Filed under: Lichenomima sp. KPJ-2003
Lineage: Eukaryota; Metazoa; Arthropoda; Insecta; Psocodea; Myopsocidae
Description: partial 12S ribosomal RNA
Source: RNAcentral